GUGGCCUCGCUAUGAUGAAGCCUGUGUUGGUAGGGACAUCUGAUGGUGGCUGAUGAAUGCCAACGGCUCUGACGGCGGAGC
Molecule: small nucleolar RNA, 81 nt
Organism: Jaculus jaculus (lesser Egyptian jerboa)
Lineage: Eukaryota; Metazoa; Chordata; Mammalia; Rodentia; Dipodidae
Source: Ensembl